Molecule: small nuclear RNA, 106 nt
Filed under: Penaeus chinensis
Lineage: Eukaryota; Metazoa; Arthropoda; Malacostraca; Decapoda; Penaeidae
Source: RNAcentral
GUACUUGCUUCGGCAGUACAUAUACUAAAAUUGGAACGAUACAGAGAAGAUUAGCAUGGCCCCUCGCAAGGAUGACACGCAAAAUCGUGAAGCGUUCCACAUUUUU